GUAUGAGUUAUUUCAAUAUGAUGAUAAACAUUACCCAGCUCAUCUGAAGAAUAUAACCAUGAAGAUAUUCUUUCAUGCAUCACAAUCUGAUUGAAAUAAUUCUAACAAAAAAAAGAUUAA
RNAcentral lists this small RNA (120 nucleotides) under Plasmodium adleri (nom. inval.). Lineage: Eukaryota; Apicomplexa; Aconoidasida; Haemosporida; Plasmodiidae. The record is from RNAcentral.